UUUUUCCUACGGGAGGCAGCAGUGGGGAAUAUUGCACAAUGGGGGAGACCCUGAUGCAGCGACGCCGCGUGAGUGAAGAAGUAUUUCGGUAUGUAAAGCUCUAUCAGCAGGGAAGAACAUGACGGUACCUGACUAAGAAGCCCCGGCUAACUACGUGCCAGCAGCCGCGGUAAUACGUAGGGGGCAAGCGUUAUCCGGAUUUACUGGGUGUAAAGGGAGCGUAGACGGCAGCGCAAGCCUGGAGUGAAAGGAUGGGGCUCAACCCCAUGACUGCCCUGGGAACUGCGCAGCUAGAGUGCCGGAGG
This 305-nucleotide ribosomal RNA is filed under the name uncultured bacterium. RNAcentral's name for it is "bacterial SSU rRNA". It matches the Rfam family "Bacterial small subunit ribosomal RNA", at positions 333 to 655 of the family's 1533-position model. The record is from RNAcentral.